Molecule: ribosomal RNA, 496 nt
Filed under: uncultured bacterium
Lineage: Bacteria
Description: partial 16S ribosomal RNA
Rfam family: Bacterial small subunit ribosomal RNA
Source: RNAcentral
GACGAACGCUGGCGGCGUGCCUAAUACAUGCAAGUUGAGCGAUGAAGAUUGGUGCUUGCACCAAUUUGAAGAGCAGCGAACGGGUGAGUAACGCGUGGGGAAUCUGCCUUUGAGCGGGGGACAACAUUUGGAAACGAAUGCUAAUACCGCAUAACAACUUUAAACAUAAGUUUUAAGUUUGAAAGAUGCAAUUGCAUCACUCAAAGAUGAUCCCGCGUUGUAUUAGCUAGUUGGUGAGGUAAAGGCUCACCAAGGCGAUGAUACAUAGCCGACCUGAGAGGGUGAUCGGCCACAUUGGGACUGAGACACGGCCCAAACUCCUACGGGAGGCAGCAGUAGGGAAUCUUCGGCAAUGGACGAAAGUCUGACCGAGCAACGCCGCGUGAGUGAAGAAGGUUUUCGGAUCGUAAAACUCUGUUGGUAGAGAAGAACGUUGGUGAGAGUGGAAAGCUCAUCAAGUGACGGUAACUACCCAGAAAGGGACGGCUAACUACGU